UACGGAGGGUGCAAGCGUUGUCCGGAAUCAUUGGGCGUAAAGAGUUCGUAGGUGGUAUGUUAAGUCUGGUGUUAAAGCCCGAAGCUCAACUUCGGUUCGGCACUGGAUACUGGCAAACUUGAAUGUGGUAGAGGUAAAGGGAAUUCCUGGUGUAGCGGUGAAAUGCGUAGAUAUCAGGAGGAACAUCGGUGGCGUAAGCGCUUUACUGGGCCAUAAUUGACACUGAGGAACGAAAGCCGGGGUAGCAAAUGGG
Molecule: ribosomal RNA, 253 nt
Filed under: bacterium
Lineage: Bacteria
Also listed under: 1 other name
Description: partial 16S ribosomal RNA
Rfam family: Bacterial small subunit ribosomal RNA
Source: RNAcentral